This 750-nucleotide ribosomal RNA is filed under the name bacterium. RNAcentral describes it as "bacterial SSU rRNA". It matches the Rfam family "Bacterial small subunit ribosomal RNA", at positions 28 to 780 of the family's 1533-position model. The record is from RNAcentral.
AGGAAAUGCGGCAGCUUAACAUGCAGUCGACGGCAGCACGGGUGCUUGCACCUGGUGGCGAGUGGCGAACGGGUGAGUAAUACAUCGGAACAUGUCCUGUAGUGGGGGAUAGCCCGGCGAAAGCCGGAUUAAUACCGCAUACGAUCUACGGAUGAAAGCGGGGGACCUUCGGGCCUCGCGCUAUAGGGUUGGCCGAUGGCUGAUUAGCUAGUUGGUGGGGUAAAGGCCUACCAAGGCGACGAUCAGUAGCUGGUCUGAGAGGACGACCAGCCACACUGGGACUGAGACACGGCCCAGACUCCUACGGGAGGCAGCAGUGGGGAAUUUUGGACAAUGGGCGAAAGCCUGAUCCAGCAAUGCCGCGUGUGUGAAGAAGGCCUUCGGGUUGUAAAGCACUUUUGUCCGGAAAGAAAUCCUUGGUCCUAAUACGAUCGGGGGAUGACGGUACCGGAAGAAUAAGCACCGGCUAACUACGUGCCAGCAGCCGCGGUAAUACGUAGGGUGCGAGCGUUAAUCGGAAUUACUGGGCGUAAAGCGUGCGCAGGCGGUUUGCUAAGACCGAUGUGAAAUCCCCGGGCUCAACCUGGGAACUGCAUUGGUGACUGGCAGGCUAGAGUAUGGCAGAGGGGGGUAGAAUUCCACGUGUAGCAGUGAAAUGCGUAGAGAUGUGGAGGAAUACCGAUGGCGAAGGCAGCCCCCUGGGCCAAUACUGACGCUCAUGCACGAAAGCGUGGGGAGCAAACAGGAUAA